This 68-nucleotide transfer RNA is filed under the name Nesogobius tigrinus. Its description in RNAcentral is "tRNA-Ser". The record is from RNAcentral. Lineage: Eukaryota; Metazoa; Chordata; Actinopteri; Gobiiformes; Gobiidae.
GAAAGAAGCUUGCUAGCAAAGAAGACUGCUAACCCUCUCCCUCCCCAGUUGGAUCCUGGGGUUCUCUC